Molecule: ribosomal RNA, 345 nt
Filed under: Hirudo sulukii
Lineage: Eukaryota; Metazoa; Annelida; Clitellata; Hirudinida; Hirudinidae
Description: partial 12S ribosomal RNA
Source: RNAcentral
UGGAGAGUACGAGCAAUAGCUUAAAAACUAAAGAAUAUGGCGGUGUUUUAUUCGAUCAGGGUAACAUGUAUCUUAAUUUGAUAGUCCACGGUUUUAAAGCCUGAUUUUGAAAUUCAGCAUGUGUACUGCCGUUUUACAUAGUCUAGAAGGAUUAUGUAUAAUAUAUGAGUUAAUCAUAUAAUUAGUCAGGUCAAAGUGCAGUCUAUAAUCAGGUGAGAUUGUGUUACAUUUAUUUAAACAUUCAACUUAUUAAUUUAAAUUUUAAUAAGAAGAAGAACUUGAUAGUAAUUAAAUUAAUUAAAUUUAAUGAAAAGGAUUUUAACGCGUACACAUCGCCCGUCGCUC